GAUGAACGCUGGCGGCGUGCCUAAUACAUGCAAGUCGAGCGAACAGACGAGGAGCUUGCUCCUCUGACGUUAGCGGCGGACGGGUGAGUAACACGUGGAUAACCUACCUAUAAGACUGGGAUAACUUCGGGAAACCGGAGCUAAUACCGGAUAAUAUAUUGAACCGCAUGGUUCAAUAGUGAAAGACGGUUUUGCUGUCACUUAUAGGUGGAUCCGCGCCGCAUUAGCUAGUUGGUAAGGUAAUGGCUUACCAAGGCAACGAUGCGUAGCCGACCUGAGAGGGUGAUCGGCCACACUGGAACUGAGACACGGUCCAGACUCCUACGGGAGGCAGCAGUAGGGAAUCUUCCGCAAUGGGCGAAAGCCUGACGGAGCAACGCCGCGUGAGUGAUGAAGGUCUUCGGAUCGUAAAACUCUGUUAUUAGGGAAGAACAAAUGUGUAAGUAACUAUGCACGUCUUGACGGUACCUAAUCAGAAAGCCACGGCUAACUACGUG
This 497-nucleotide ribosomal RNA is filed under the name uncultured bacterium. RNAcentral describes it as "partial 16S ribosomal RNA". It matches the Rfam family "Bacterial small subunit ribosomal RNA", at positions 28 to 507 of the family's 1533-position model. The record is from RNAcentral.